Molecule: transfer RNA, 76 nt
Filed under: Candidatus Scalindua brodae
Lineage: Bacteria; Pseudomonadati; Planctomycetota; Candidatus Brocadiia; Candidatus Brocadiales; Candidatus Scalinduaceae
Also listed under: 2 other names
Description: tRNA-Val
Rfam family: tRNA
About the family: Transfer RNA (tRNA) molecules are approximately 80 nucleotides in length. Their secondary structure includes four short double-helical elements and three loops (D, anti-codon, and T loops).
Source: RNAcentral
UGGGCGAUUAGCUCAGUUGGCUAGAGCACUUGCUCGACAAGCAAGGGGUCACUGGUUCGAGUCCAGUAUCGCCCAU